RNAcentral lists this non-coding RNA (128 nucleotides) under Symbiodinium microadriaticum. RNAcentral describes it as "Eukaryotic small subunit ribosomal RNA". It matches the Rfam family "Eukaryotic small subunit ribosomal RNA", at positions 985 to 1112 of the family's 1831-position model. Lineage: Eukaryota; Dinophyceae; Suessiales; Symbiodiniaceae. The record is from Rfam by way of RNAcentral.
GAAACCAUGAACAUCGAAGACGAUCAGAUACCGUCCUAGUCUUAAGCAUAAACUAUGCCAACUAGAGAUUGGAGGUCGUUACUUAUACCACUCCUUCAGCACCUUAUGAGAAAUCAAAGUCUUUGGGU